CUAUACUUUCUUUUACUUUAACAGAAAAGGGUGAAUAUGUGAGAGAAAUAAUUGUUCAAGAGUUUGCUAAAGGUUUUGAUGCACUUGGACUAGCAACCUUGGAAACAGCUGCUUCAAGGGUUCCUUUCAGUGGAUUCCUUUUUUCCUCUUUAAUGAUCGAAGAAGAUGUGAACAACCUCAGAACCUUCCAACGCCUUCUACUCUUGUUGUCAGGGACCAGAUGAAAAGAAGAUAACAAUGUAAGAUUUCAGUUAUCCUUAAUUGUAGAUAGACCAACUACUGCACAAUUCUAGAUGUUGAUGGAUUCAUGGAUAUGAUGAUCUUAGGAACAAAUUUCUCUCUCUAAAAUUUUUCUUUACAUGCCAUUGUUGGGUUGGUGAUACUUGCUUCAAAUGUUCGAGAUAUGAAGAGUUCAAGUAUUAUUUAAUAGUUAUUACUUUAUAUUUUUAAGUAUUAGAAUGUCAAAUUUAAUUUCACCUAUUUUGAUUUUGUUUAUUUAGUUAGUAGAUUGGACUUUAUGUUAGGAUUUUCUUUAUUGAGUGAGUGCCUCUCUUGUUGCAUCGGAGAAUUGGAUAAAAAGUUGAGUGAUUCCCUUCAAUUCAAUUUCCAAACUAUGAUGUAGACAAGUUAGGUUGAGGAGUCGCUUUCUUGUUACGUUAAGAAAUUUGAUAAAAAGUAGAAUGAUUUUUUUUAUAUUCAAUUACAAUCUAUCCCUUUUGUUUUAUAUUUUAAUUUCAAUUUAUCUUUUUAUUCAAUUUCAAUCCUUAUCUUCAUGUUUAUUGAUUGUUUUGUAUCAAGUGGAAAUUAGUAGUCCUUUCAAUGUCAAAUGACAUGCAGGGAAUCAUACAGGUUAGCCAGUACCAGAGCCAAACACUUCACAUGGAGAACCUAUCAUUAGUUCCAACUCAACUUGAAUCUGUUCAAGAGAUUCUUCCUGUUCUAUCUAUCGUUUGCAUUUUCUUGAAUACAGCAUUGUAGCUAUUUCCUCAAUUCUUCUAUGUUUGUAAAAUGUUAACAGCUACCACCAGAAUCCCAGCAGCAGUUACUUCAGUUGCCAGCUAAUAUGGUGAGACAGUUAAUAUCUCGCGCCGCUGCAAGAACAAUAAGGAGGAUUUUCUUAUGAACUCCGGGCAGUAUACAUGUGUCACACACUGAGCAGAUGAAUUCUGUUUGCUCUAAUCAACUCACCAUCACCAGAUAACAUUGAAAAAUGUAGGAUCCAUAUGACAGGGCAUUGAAUUUGUACAUAAGCAUAAGAAUAAGCAGCAUAGCUUAUGCACAUUGCUGAUUCAGCAAGAGAUUUUGAGCCUUACAAUUCAUGUUCAGAAGAACUUGUUUUGGAUACUAUCUGAAAAAAUGAAAGUAUUCAUAGUAUCUUCCAUGGUAUCAACUCUGGCCAUGUUCGUUUUCUCUUU
Molecule: long non-coding RNA, 1415 nt
Organism: Arachis duranensis
Lineage: Eukaryota; Viridiplantae; Streptophyta; Magnoliopsida; Fabales; Fabaceae
Exons: 3
Source: RefSeq, a predicted model, not a curated record